CUUCCUUGUCGACCGCCGCCGCGCGCAACCCCGCCAUUUUGUAUUGAGAUAGCGGAAUCAGCGGAUUUGCGAGGUUACAAGUUUGGCGUCUUCAGUGCAGUGUUGUGAUUUUGCAGUGAAAUCUAGUGGGAGCUUGUAUAUUUUGGAUUCACAAUGGUGCCGCAAACGAAGGUGUUCGUCGGCAGCCUGCCCCAGGGCUCCAAGCCGGAGGACCUGCGGAAGCUCUUCGAGCGUUUCGGCGUCGUCACCGAGUGCGACAUCAUGAACAGAUGCGGGUUCGUCCACAUGCAGACCGAGGAGCAGGCGUCGGCGGCGAUCCGCUCGCUGAACAACAGCACGUUCAACGGCGGCGUGAUCACCGUGGAGCGCGGCCGCAUCAAGGAGCGCGGGCAGCGCGGCGGCGGCCGGGGCGGCGGCGCCCGCGGGGGCAUGCGCGGCGGCGGCGACCGGCGCGGCGGCGGCCCGAUGCGGGGCCCGGGCGGAGGCCGCGACGCGCCGUACUCGCGGCCGCCGAUGCGCGCCGGGCCGCCGCCGCACGGGCCGCCGAUGCGCAACGGCAUGGGCGGCGGCUACGACCGCGGCGCGGACCGCGCGAGCGGCUACGACGACCGGUACAACGGCUACGGCUACGGCGGCGAGGACCGGCGCGGCUUCGCGCUGAUGGAGGGCCGCGCGCGGGACCCGUACGCGGCGGCGGCGCCGAUGUACGACGACCGGCGCGGGUACGCGGCGCCGGCGGAGGAGCUGGCGCCGCUGUACGACGACCGGCGCGCGCCCAUGUACGACGAGCGCGAGCUGAUGGACCGGCGCGCGCCCAUGCGGGGCCCCAUGCCCAUGGCGGCGGGCUACGAGCGCGCCGCGCCGCCGCGCCCCAUGGGCAACGGGGACAUGUUCAGCAGACGAUCACCCAUGAGAGGAGGCCCCUCCGGCCCCGCGGGCUACGAGCGGGAUCCGUAUGCGCAGCAGUACCCCCCGAUGGGACGCGGCGGCGGCGGCGCGGCGCGCGGGCGGGAGCUGGGACGGCGCUACUAGCGGCUCUCCAUAGACUUAAGCCGUAGACUAAACGUGACACGAACGAACGACACCCGUAGUUGUCUUCCGGGCGAAUGCGUGCGCUUACGUUGCGGUGCGGUGCGACCGAUCGCGUACUUGUAAAGUAACUGAGAUUAUACGGUAAGGUCGCCUAGAUUAAGUAUCCAUGCAGAUAAUAAAUUAUGUGAAUCACUUUAAAUUUUAAUAAACGAACAUAAUUCUGACGGACAGUUUGAUUUCUCCUGCCGAUGAUAUGAUUUGACAAUAAUAUUUUUGAAAACUCUUUUGGACUAGAUUUGUAUUGAUUAUUAUUAUUAUAAUCUAAGAAAUAAGGUGUUUAUGUUUAAGUUGUACGAUAUUUUACUUUGUAGAUUAAAUUCAUUUUUAAGUAGAA
This is an RNA transcript of Ostrinia furnacalis (Asian corn borer), 1426 nucleotides long. It is a transcript of the gene named bmp-2 protein, with no coding region annotated. Lineage: Eukaryota; Metazoa; Arthropoda; Insecta; Lepidoptera; Crambidae. The record is from RefSeq and is a predicted model, not a curated record. The transcript is spliced from 5 exons.